GACGACCUCUGGCGGCGUGCUUAACACAUGCAAGUCGAACGGAAAGGCCCUGCUUUUGUGGGGUGCUCGAGUGGCGAACGGGUGAGUAACACGUGAGUAACCUGCCCUUGACUUUGGGAUAACUUCAGGAAACUGGGGCUAAUACCGGAUAGGAGCUCCUGCUGCAUGGUGGGGGUUGGAAAGUUUCGGCGGUUGGGGAUGGACUCGCGGCUUAUCAGCUUGUUGGUGGGGUAGUGGCUUACCAAGGCUUUGACGGGUAGCCGGCCUGAGAGGGUGACCGGCCACAUUGGGACUGAGAUACGGCCCAGACUCCUACGGGAGGCAGCAGUGGGGAAUAUUGCACAAUGGGCGGAAGCCUGAUGCAGCAACGCCGCGUGCGGGAUGACGGCCUUCGGGUUGUAAACCGCUUUCGCCUGUGACGAAGCGUGAGUGACGGUAAUGGGUAAAGAAGCACCGGCUAACUACGUGCCAGCAGCCGCGGUGAUACGUAGGGUGCGAGCGUUGUCCGGAUUUAUUGGGCGUAAAGGGCUCGUAGGUGGUUGAUCGCGUCGGAAGUGUAAUCUUGGGGCUUAACCCUGAGCGUGCUUUCGAUACGGGUUGACUUGAGGAAAGUAGGGGAGAAUGGAAUUCCUGGUGGAGCGGUGGAAUGCGCAGAUAUCAGGAGGAACACCAGUGGCGAAGGCGGUUCUCUGGGCCUUUCCUGACGCUGAGGAGCGAAAGCGUGGGGAGCGAACAGGCUUAGAUACCCUGGUAGUCCACGCUGUAAACGGUGGGUACUAGGUGUGGGGUCCAUUCCACGGGUUCCGUGCCGUAGCUAACGCUUUAAGUACCCCGCCUGGGGAGUACGGCCGCAAGGCUAAAACUCAAAGGAAUUGACGGGGCCCCGCACAAGCGGCGGAGCAUGCGGAUUAAUUCGAUGCAACGCGUAGAACCUUACCUGGGUUUGACAUGGAUCGGGAGUGCUCAGAGAUGGGUGUGCCUCUUUUGGGGUCGGUUCACAGGUGGUGCAUGCCUGUCGUCAGCUCGUGUCGUGAGAUGUUGGGUUAAGUCCCGCAACGAGCGCAACCCUUGUUCACUGUUGCCAGCACGUUAUGGUGGGGACUCAGUGGAGACCGCCGGGGUCAACUCGGAGGAAGGUGGGGAUGACGUCAAGUCCUCAUGCCCCUUAUGUCCAGGGCUUCACGCAUGCUACAAUGGCUGGUACAGAGAGUGGCGAGCCUGUGAGGGUGAGCGAAUCUCGGAAAGCCGGUCUCAGUUCGGAUUGGGGUCUGCAACUCGACCUCAUGAAGUCGGAGUCGCUAUAAUCGCAGAAAGGCAACGCUGCGGUAAUCGUUCCCGGGGCU
Molecule: ribosomal RNA, 1343 nt
Filed under: uncultured bacterium
Lineage: Bacteria
Description: bacterial SSU rRNA
Rfam family: Bacterial small subunit ribosomal RNA
Source: RNAcentral